AAAGGUGCAUGAGUGGUUUUUGGUUUGUUAUGGGUGGUCGGCUCUUUGCUUGCGCAACAACUUCCACCUGACAUUCCUCUUCAUUUUUGUUUCAAUGCUUGGAUUGCAUUGAACACACGCUGGGUUUCUUGUGUUGCAUGCCUAAUUGAUGGUAUCGAAUUGACGAAUUGACAAAUAUUUUCGUCUUUUGUUGCACCUGCAAUGUGAGAUGAACCUUAAAGCGACCUUGGCGCCCCACUGUUUUGAUGCUCUCGCAUUGAUUUUGUGGCUCGUUGAGUGUUUGCUUGGUCCCAUGGAUAUGGAACUUUGUGUGGGCGUGUGAUCUUUUAAUAGAUCAUUGUUUGCCCAAGCUGGAAGCUUUUUCAAAUACGAUUUCCUAUCAUGUUCUAACGGGUAGGCUAUAUCGAACAUGAAUGCCCACCUGGUGGAUCCUGCCAAAAAUCAUAU
Molecule: unclassified non-coding RNA, 447 nt
Filed under: Xerochrysum viscosum
Lineage: Eukaryota; Viridiplantae; Streptophyta; Magnoliopsida; Asterales; Asteraceae
Description: partial contains external transcribed spacer and 18S ribosomal RNA
Source: RNAcentral